This 408-nucleotide ribosomal RNA is filed under the name Triticum aestivum (bread wheat). RNAcentral's name for it is "partial small subunit ribosomal RNA". Lineage: Eukaryota; Viridiplantae; Streptophyta; Magnoliopsida; Poales; Poaceae. The record is from RNAcentral.
AUGGCGAGCUUCAAGGGCCUUGUCGGCGAGGGGAGCGCGGCGCUGCCGCACGUCCUCGCCGUGGACGACAGCUCGGUCGACCGCGCCGUCAUCUCCGGCAUCCUCCGGAGCUCCAAGUUCCGCGUGACCGCCGUGGACAGCGGGAAGAGGGCCCUGGAGCUUCUUGGCUCCGAGGCCAAUGUGAGCAUGAUAAUCACCGACUACUGGAUGCCGGAGAUGACGGGCUACGAGCUCCUCAAGAAGGUCAAGGGGUCGUCCAAGCUGAGGGAGAUCCCCGUGGUGAUCAUGUCCUCGGAGAACGUGCCUACAAGGAUCAACAGGUGCCUGGAGGAGGGAGCCGAGGAUUUCCUGCUGAAGCCCGUCCAGCCGUCCGACGUGUCGCGCCUCUGCAGCCGCGUCCUCCGCUGA